Molecule: ribosomal RNA, 470 nt
Filed under: uncultured bacterium
Lineage: Bacteria
Description: partial 16S ribosomal RNA
Rfam family: Bacterial small subunit ribosomal RNA
Source: RNAcentral
GACGAACGCUGGCGGCGUGCUUAACACAUGCAAGUCGAACGAUGAAGCCUAGCUUGCUAGGUGGAUUAGUGGCGAACGGGUGAGUAAUACGUGAGUAACCUACCUUUAACUCUGGGAUAAGCCUGGGAAACUGGGUCUAAUACCGGAUACGACCAAUCUCCGCAUGGGGUGUUGGUGGAAAGCGUUAUGUAGUGGUUAUAGAUGGGCUCACGGCCUAUCAGCUUGUUGGUGAGGUAACGGCUCACCAAGGCGACGACGGGUAGCCGGCCUGAGAGGGUGACCGGCCACACUGGGACUGAGACACGGCCCAGACUCCUACGGGAGGCAGCAGUGGGGAAUAUUGCACAAUGGGCGCAAGCCUGAUGCAGCGACGCCGCGUGAGGGAGGACGGCCUUCGGGUGGUAAACCUCUGUUAGCAGGGAAGAAGAGAAAUUGACGGUACCUGCAGAGAAAGCGCCGGCUAACUACGU